UACGUAGGUGGCAAGCGUUGUCCGGAAUUAUUGGGCGUAAAGCGCGCGAAGGCGGCCUUUUAAGUCUGAUGUGAAAGCCCACGGCUCAACCGUGGAAGGUCAUUGGAAACUGAGAGGCUUGAGUACAGAAGAGGAAAGCGGAAUUCCACGUGUAGCGGUGAAAUGCGUAGAGAUGUGGAGGAACACCAGUGGCGAAGGCGGCUUUCUGGUCUGUAACUGACGCUGAGGCGCGAAAGCGUGGGGAGCAAACAGG
Molecule: ribosomal RNA, 253 nt
Filed under: uncultured bacterium
Lineage: Bacteria
Description: partial 16S ribosomal RNA
Rfam family: Bacterial small subunit ribosomal RNA
Source: RNAcentral